Molecule: long non-coding RNA, 434 nt
Filed under: Triticum aestivum (bread wheat)
Lineage: Eukaryota; Viridiplantae; Streptophyta; Magnoliopsida; Poales; Poaceae
Description: long non-coding RNA (TAES_LNC023544)
Source: RNAcentral
CCCAGCCUUCUGUCCUUUUCUCGUAGCCUCGAUCAAGCCUAGUGACAGAAAAGACAAUGCAUUCCACGGAUCAUAGUCGAAGUUGAGUAACAGAGAGUACUGCCCGAGCUUUCUUUCCCACGUCUCUCCUGCUGUGGGACUCCAUGUCUCAGUUUUUGUUUGUGGAUUUGUGGGAGUAUCAUUCGGAACUUCUAGGCAGAGUUUCCACACUAUUCCAAACCUACGAGGCCUAAUAAAUAUCUUCAUAAGGUAUAUCAGAACUAAAUUGGCAAGCAGAAGAAUGGUAAUCCCACGAAUAACAUCAGCUCCAAAGAAUCUGUGUUCCAAGUUGGUACGUAUGAUGGUAGUGCCUGCUAAAUGCUCCAGAAAUGCUGUUCCAAACAAUAAUUGUUGAUAUAGCAGUUAUUGACAAGAAGAAAGUAUGUGCGACUGAU